This 497-nucleotide ribosomal RNA is filed under the name uncultured bacterium. RNAcentral describes it as "partial 16S ribosomal RNA". It matches the Rfam family "Bacterial small subunit ribosomal RNA", at positions 28 to 507 of the family's 1533-position model. The record is from RNAcentral.
GAUGAACGCUGGCGGCGUGCCUAAUACAUGCAAGUCGAGCGAACAGAUAAGGAGCUUGCUCCUUUGACGUUAGCGGCGGACGGGUGAGUAACACGUGGGUAACCUACCUAUAAGACUGGGAUAACUUCGGGAAACCGGAGCUAAUACCGGAUAACAUUUGGAACCGCAUGGUUCUAAAGUGAAAGAUGGUUUUGCUAUCACUUAUAGAUGGACCCGCGCCGUAUUAGCUAGUUGGUAAGGUAACGGCUUACCAAGGCGACGAUACGUAGCCGACCUGAGAGGGUGAUCGGCCACACGGGAACUGAGACACGGUCCAGACUACUACGGGAGGCAGCAGUAGGGAAUCUUCCGCAAUGGGCGAAAGCCUGACGGAGCAACGCCGCGUGAGUGAUGAAGGGUUUCGGCUCGUAAAACUCUGUUAUUAGGGAAGAACAACUGUGUAAGUAACUGUGCACGUCUUGACGGUACCUAAUCAGAAAGCCACGGCUAACUACGUG